AGACAGAGCUCUGGGCCUGACCUUUGCUUCAUUCUUCAUGGCUGCCAAGUGAGAGUGUGGCCCCUGCAGAUGGUUGGAUCAUCCAUCCAGUUCUUUGCUUCCUCUAGCUGAUAUCCUUCUUUGCUGUACUAUAUGGGAAAAGCAAGAAAUAUUUGACACCAAAAUUGCUUCCUUUGUGUGGCCCCGUAUUGCCCUGUAUAGAAGCAUUUCGUCUUCACAACAACUCUAUGAGAUCAACUGCAAGAACAAACCAGCAAUCCUGAGAGGAGCCGCAGACCCUCUGAAGGAAGCGGACUGCCCCUGCAGGACACAGGAGACACCCCAAAUACUGUGAGUGCCCCAACUGCGGAAGUGGGAAAGGGGGACCCUCCUCUUCCAAACACACAUCACCACUGGGGAAGCGGAAGGUCUGUUUUUGGGAGAAGUUUCCAACUUUACCUCAAGCUGAGUCAAGUUAGAGAGCUGAGCCGAGCAAAAUACAAGGGUAGAGGAAGCAGCAGAAAGGUCCUGGGAGCUCGUUGGGUCCCCAAGCAGCCCAUUCCUGCCUGACACCACAGGGAUCCAUCAGGAGGGUGGCCAGAGGAGAAGGGGGUAAAACUCCAUAGGGAGAAGGAAUUCUCUAGCUGAACUUUAUAACAAUUUGAAAGGGGCAAGAAGCCUCCUGACCAGAACCUAGGGGAGAGCAUGAAUCUGGUGUGCAGACUUCACAUGCAGGGGGAAGAACUGAAGCCCUUUUCUUCCACAGCUGGAAGGGAAAAAGCCUUGGGCAAGUUUUCAAGCCCAUCUCACCCUCCACCAGGAAACAGACUCGAGGCUGUUGGGGGAGGCACGGUGGGAGUGAGGCCGACCCUUCGGUUUCUGUGGGAGCUGGGUGAGGCCUGUGAUUGCCAGCCUUCCCCAACUUCCCUGACAACCUGUAUGACUCAACAGAGGCAGCCAUAAUCCUCCUAGGUACACAAUUCCAGUGACCUAGGAAUCCCACCCCCAUCCCCCACAGCAGCUGAAGCAAGACCUGCCCAAGGAGAGUCUGAGCUCAGACACACCCAGCCCCGCCCCCACCUUAUGGUCCUUCCCUACCCGCCCUGGUAGGGAAAGACAAAGGGCAUUUAAUCUUGGGAGUUCUAGGGCCCCACCCACCACCAGUCCCUUUCCACAUGACUACAGCUGAUGCUUUCUGGAAAGCACCACCUCCUGGCAGGAGGCCAACCAGCACAAAAAUAGAGCAUUAAACCACCGAAGUUAAGGACCCUCACGGAGUCCAUUAUACCCUCCUCCACCUCCACUGGAACAGGUGCUGGUAUCCAUGGCUGAGAGACCCACAGACGGUUCACAUCACAGGACUCUGUGCAGACAACCUCCAGUACCAGCCUGGAGCUGGCUAGACUCACUGGGUGGCUAGACCCAGAAAAGAGACAAUAAUCACUGCAGUUUGGCUCACAGGAAGCCACAUCCACAGGAAAAAGGGGGGUGUACUACAUCAAGGGAACACCCCAUGGGACAAAAGAAUCUGAACAACAGCCUUCAGCCCUAGACCUUCCCUCUGACAGAGCCUAUCCAAGUGAGAAGGAGCCAGACAAUCAACCCUGGUAAUAUGACAAAACAAGGCUGUUCAGUAUCCCCAAAAAAUCACACUAGUUCACCAGCAAUGGAUCCAAACCAAGAAGAAAUCCCGGAUUUACCUGAAAAAGAAUUCAGGAGGUUAGUUAUUAAGCUAAUCAGGGAGGGACCAGAGAAAGGAGAAGCCCAAUGCAAAAGUAUCCAGAAAAUGAUACAAGAAGUAAAGGGAGAAAUAUUCAAGGAAAUAGAUAGCUUACAGAAAAAAAUAAUUUAAAAAUUCAGGAAAUUUUGGACAUACUUUUAGAAAUGUCAGGUGCUUUGGAAAGUCUCAGCAAUAGAAUUGAACAAGCAGAAGAAAGAAAUUCAGAGCUUGAAGACAAGGUCUUCAAAUUAACACAAUCCAACAAAGACCUAGAAAAAAGAAUAAUAAAAUAUGAACAAAGCCUCCAAGAAGUCUGGGAUUAUGUUAAAUGACCAAACCUAAGAAUAAUCAAUGUUCCUGAGGAGGAAGACCUCACAUUUCAAUACAAUAUUGAAUAUAAAUGGUCUAAAUGCUCCAUUUAAAAGAAGAACCACAGAAUGGAUAAGAACUCACCAACCAACUCUCUGUUGCCUUCAGAAGACUCACCUAACACAUAAGGAUUCACAUAAACUUAAAGUAAAGGGGUGGAAAAAGGCAUUUCAUGCAAUGGACACCAAAAGCGAGCAGGGGUAGUUAUUCUUAUAUUAGACAAAACAAACUUUAAAGCAAUAGCAGUUAGAAGAGACAAAGAGGGACAUUAAUGGUAAAAAGACCUUGUUCAACAGGAAGCUAUCACAAUCCUAAACAUAUAUGCACCUAACACUGGAGCUCCAAAAUUUAUAAAACAAUUACUAUUAGACCUAAGAAAUGAGAUAAACAGCAACACAAUAGCAGUGGAGGACUUCAAUACUCUGCUAACAGCACUAGACAGGUCAUCAAGACAGAAAGUCAAUAAAGAAACAAAGGAUUUAAACUAUACCUUGGAACAAAUGGACUUAACAGAUAUAUACAGAACAUUUCAUCCAACAACUGCAUUCUAUUCAACAGAGCAUGGAACUUUCUCCAAGAUAGACCAUGUGAUAGGCCACAAAAUGAGCCUCAAUAGAUUUAGAAAAUUGAAAUUAUAUCAAGCACUCUGUCAGGCCAUAGUGGAAUAAAACUGGAAUUCAACUCCAAAAGGAACCUUCAAAACCAUGCAAAUACAUGGAAAUUAAGUAAUCUGCUCCUGAAUGAGCACUGGGUCAAAAACAAAAUCAAGAUGGAAAUUUAAAAAUUCUUUGAACUGAAUGACAAUAAUGACACAGCCUAUCAAAACCCCUGGGAUACAGAGUCGAAAGGCCUCUUCAAGGAAAACUACAAAACACUGCUGAAAGAAGUCAUAGAUGACACAAACAAAUGGAAACACAUCCCAUGCUCAUGGAUGGGUAGAAUUAAUAUUGUGAAAAUGACCAUACUGCCAAAAGCAAUCUACAAAUUCAAUGCAAUCCCCAUCAAAAUACCACCAUCGUUCUUCACAGAGUUGGAAAAAACAAUUCUAAAAUUCAUGUGGAACCAAAACAGAGCCCACAUAGCCAAACCAGGACUAAGCAAAAAGAACAAAUCCAGAGGCAUCACACUACCUGAUUUCAAACUAUACUAUAAAGCCAUAGUCACCAAAACAGCAUGGUACUGGUAUAAAAAUAGGCACACAGACCAAUGGAACAGAAUAGAGAACCCAGAAAUAAACCCAAAUACUUACAGCCAACUGAUCUUCAACAAAGCAAACAAAAUCAUAAACUGGGGGAAAGGACAUCAUUUUCAAUAAAUGGUGUUGGGAUAAUUGGCUAGCCACAUGUAGGAAAAUGAAACUGGAUCCUCAUCUCUCACCUUAAACAAAAAUCAACUAAAGAUGGAUUAAGGACUUAAACCUAAGACCUGAAACUAUAAAUAUUGUAGAAGAUAACAUUGGAAAAACCUUUCUAGACAUUGGCUUAGGCAAGGAUUUCAUGACCAAGAACCCAAAAACAAAUGCAAUAAAAACAAAGAUAAAUAGCUAGGACCUAAUUAAACUAAAGAACUUUUGCAUGGUAAAAGGAACAGUCAGCACAGUAAACAGACAACCACAGAGUGGGAGAAAAUGUUCACAAUCUAUACAUCUGACAAAGGACUAAUAUCCAGAAUAUACAACAAGCUCAAAUGAGUAAGAAAAAAAAUCCCAUCAAAAAGUGGCCCAAGGACAUGAACAGACAGCUCUCAAAAGAAGAUAUAUAAAUGGCCAACAAACAUAUGAAAGAAUGCUCAACAUCACCAAUGAUCAGGGAAAUGCAAAUCAAAACCACAAUGCGAUACCACCUCACUUCUGCAAGAAUGGCCAUUAUCAAAAAAUAAAAAAAAAACCAGUAGACGUUGGCAUGGGUGCAGUGAACAGGGAACCCUUCUGCAUUGCUGGUGGGAAUGUAAACUAGCCACAGUGGAAAACAGUAUAAACAGCCACUAUGGAAAACAGUGUAGAGAGUCCUUAAAGAACUAAAAGUAGGGUCGGGCGUGGUGGCUUACAUCUGUAAUCCCAGCACUUUGGGAGGCCAAGGCAGGUGGAUCACCUGUGGUCAGGAGUUCAAGACAAGCCUGGCCAACAUGGUGAAACCCCAUUUCUACUAAAAAGUAAAACUAGCCUGGCGUGGUGGUGAGUGCCUGAAUCCCAGCUUCUCGGGAGGCUGAGGCAGGAGAAUUACUUGAACCCAGGAGCCGGAGGUUGCAGUGAGCAGAGAUCAUGCCAUUGCACUCUAGCCUGGGUGACGAGAGAAACUCCGUUUCAAAAAAAAAAAAAAAAAAAAGAACAAAAAGUAGAACUAUGAUUUGAUCCAGCAAUCCCACUACUGGGUAUCUACCCAGAAGAAAAGAAGUCAUUACAUCAUUACACCAAAAAGAUACUUGCAUAUGCAUGUUUACAGCAGCACAAUUUACAAUUGCAAAAUCCUGGAACCAACCCAAAUGCCUAUCAAUCAACAAGUGGAUGAAGAGAUUGUGGUAUAUAUAUAGUGGCAUAUAUAUAUAUAUGAUGGAAUACUACGCAGACCUAAAAAGAAAUGAAUUAUCAGUGUUUGCAGUGACCUGGAUAAGACUGGAGACUAUUAUUCUAAGUGAAGGAACUCAGGAACGGAAAACCAAACAUCAUAUGUUCUCACUGAUAUGUGGGAGCUAAGCUAUGAGGAUGCAAAGGCAUAAGAAUGAUACAGUGGACUUUGGGGACUUGGGGGGAAGAGUGGGAGGGGGCAAGGGAUAAAAGACUACAAAUAUGGUGCAGUGUAUACUGCUCGGGUGAUGGAUGCACCAAAAUCUCACAAAUCACCACUAAAGAAUUUACUCAUGUAACCAAAUACCACCUGUACCCCAAUAACUUAUGGAAAAAAAAUUGUUAAAAAAUUGUUAAAAAAAAAAUUUGAGGCCAGGCAUGGUGGUUCACACCUGUAAUUCUAUUACAUUGGGAGGCCGAGGUGGGUGGAUACUUCCACCAAUUGCAUCUUUCUUUUUUUUUUUUUUUUGAGAUGGGGUCUCACUCUGUCACCCAGGUCAAGAGUUUGAGACCAGCCUGGCUAAGACGGUAAAACCCUGUCUCUACUAAAAAUACAAAAAUUAGCCGGACAUGGUGGCAGGCGCUGGUAAUCCCAGCUCCUUGGGAGGCUGAGGUAGAGAAUUGCUUGAACCCGGGAGGUGGAGGUUGUGGUGAGUCGAGAUCACGCCACUGCACUCCAGCCUGGGUGACAGAGCGAGACUCCAUCUCAAAAAAAGAGAAAAGAAAAAAAAUUAGGCCAGGCUCAGUGGCUCAUGCCUGUAAUCCUAGCACUUUGGGAGGCUGAGACAGGAGGAUCACUUGAGCCCAGGGGUUCGAGACCAGCUUGAGCAACACUGUGAGACCCUGUCUCUACAAAAAAAUUUUUUAAAAUUAGCCAGGCAUGGUGGUGUGCACCUGUAGUCCUAGAUACUCGGGAAGCUGAGGUGGGAGGGUCAUUUGAAUCUGGGAGGUCAAGGCUGCAGUGAACCAUGAUCACGCCACUGCACUCCACCCUGGGCAACAGAGUGAGAUCUCAUCUCAAAAAUUAAAAAAUUAGAAAAACUUAGAACCAUAGGGAAUGGGAGUACAGAUGUGACAACAUUGUCCAUGAGUUCAUGAAGUAUGUGAGAGUUUAUACUCUUCUCUGUUAUUUUUGUAUAUGUUUCAAAUUCUCUAUAAUGAAAAAUUUCUUUUUUUCCUAAUGAAACUCCUGGUCUAGGAGGGAAGAUAAAAUGUGAACAUGAAUAACUUCUACAUGACAGAAAGAGAUAAACUAAGAGAAGUGCAGAGGAAAUUUCAAGAAUUACUAUGCUUCCACAGAUGAACCCAAAUGCAAAGCUUAGAGCAGUGAUAACAUACUCUUUAGCCAGUCUUCAGCAUUAUUUGUACUGAAUAUUCAAAAAUGAUUUUGUGAUGACUUUAUAUCAGUGUAAAGUUCUCUUCAUAGGUAACCCUCUAAGGGAAAAAUAGAAAAGUAAGUCCUGCAAACAGGAGAUAGUCUUCUUGGGAAACUUCAGUUCUGAGCAAGAGGAUGCUAGGAUAGCAGAGACUGGACAAGAGUGUUCUCCUAGAAAUGACAUCAUAGGCUGCCAGAACAAAUUGCCUGUGAGAAUAGCAUGUGCUUAAUCAGGAGAUAGAUGCAGAGAACACCCAUAGGUGUAGGUUAGAAUCAUGCUAAAGAGCAACAGGCUGGACACGGACAGUUCAAAUCCGUGCGAAACACAACACAAAGACGAUAGCACAGCGACAACAGCAAAAUCUCCACUUCAUUUUGGCCAUGACUUUUCACCUCUUUUCUCCACCAAAAACCUUAUUUCUUUAAAUUUUCCAUGUGCAACUCAUUGAUUGAGCACCCAAGUAUCAGGCACCAUGUUGAACACUGAGGCGGUAAAGGGAGAGUGUAGUUCUGCCUCCCCAAAGAGCUCACAACGUGGCCAGGUGGAGGCACAUGCACAACUGAGAGGCUAAAAUGUGGCUACUGAAUCAUAUGGCCAGGAUGGAAAAAGAAAAAUCUUUAGGAAUAAAAAGCAAGGCACCUUUCAUUCUGUUUGAGAUGCCUGUGAGGCAGGUUCACUGUACUCUGGUUACCAAUUCCAGGGGAGAUCCUACUACAUGGAGGAUAGCAAAGAUCAUCACUAUGCCAACCAACCACCAGGAAGAGGAGUCCAGAUACUUCUGCCAAUUGCAUCUUUUUUUUUUUUUUUUUUUUUGAGAUGGGGUCUCACUGUGUUGCCCAGGCUGGAGUGCAGUGGUGCGAUCUUGGCUCACUGUAACCUCCACCUCCCAGGUUCAAGUGAUUAUCCUGCCUCAGCCUCCAGAGUAGCUGGGACUACAGGCGCACGCCACCAUGCCUGGCUAAUUUUUGUAUUUUUAGUAGAGACGGAGUUUUGCCAUGUUGGCCAGGCUGGUCUCAAACUCCUGACCUCAAGUGAUCCACCCACAUCGGCCUCCCAAAAUGCGCCUAUUGCAUCUUGGGCUGCAAUUUCUACCACUUGCAGGAGUUGAGGGAGACAGAACACUCACAGAACAAGUUAGGCAAAGCAACUUUAUUCAUCACAGAUAGGCAGCAAGGCACAACAGAAGCCUAGCAUCCAUUGCGAGCUGAUUCUGCAAGGCUCAGGAAGCUACUCAGAAUGGAUGGAGUCUUGUCUGCACAUGCCCCACAAUGCACUGUAGCUGAGGCACUCUGAAAGCACUCCACUCUGGGUUUUAUACCCUGGGGGGAAACUGGGAUCACUGGACCACAGCAUUGGAGGACAUCUUGUCCUAAGAGGAACAGAAACAGAAUCUGGCAUAUUCUGGACAGCUUUUCCUUAUCUCAGAAUGUUGUUUCCAGCACAUUCUAGCAUUAUUCUGAGAACUACAAGUGAAAAAUGGGGGAAGAGCUGGGUUAUCAAGGCCAUCCAGGCACUUAUCCUGCAAUGCCCAGGAAAGUCACCCCAGAGGAGGUUACAUUUGAGUUGGCCUCAAAGCACGGCUAGAAUUUCUAGUCCUUAUCUGGAGGAAAUAGAGUGAGGAAAAACAUACAGCUGAGUAUGCCAAAAACACAAGUUGUCCAGUGAAUGUGUGUAAACUCAGGCUGAAAUUUAGCAGGGAUGAUGAGAAAGGAGAUAUGGAUUAGGCCUGAUUAGGAAUGCCCUGAUGUGCCAUUCUAGGGAAUCUGGAGUGGGCCCGGGCUUGAAAACCAGCAGUGAUGAAUGGUAGAAUUCUGUUUGGCCAGAUCAGAUUUGAAAAUAAUUUUGAAUACCUUUGGAUAGGAAAUUCAGCUCCAAUGACUCAUAGACCUGUGGUGUAAGGCCUGAAAUUAAGAUUCAAAACUAAGUGCUGCCUUGACCAUGGAGGCUGGUAAAAUCAGGGUACAGAGGCUCAAAUGGAUUAACUGCAAGUUCUCCUCCCACUCUGCUCCUGGUGGAUAAAGUCCUCUAGCCAAGCAACCCUCCUUAUCAAAGGGACCAGGCGCAGUGCUAGGCUUCAGGUCCCCGUCAGCCUGUAGAAUUAUCCAAGCAAACCAAACACAUCCUCUUACAGGAACCAGGGGCACCUCGCCCUCUUGUUACUACAAAGCCUGCCUCCCACAGCUUCCUGGUGGUUCACUCUGUUCCCAGCUGCAACCCCCACGUGGCUCUCUGUGGGGCAGUGUCGUCCUUCCCUGGGCCAUGAGCAUAUGUGACUAAUUACCUGCUGCCCAUCUCAUCUGUCUAGGCUUGGAUGUUGUACAUUCAACCAUCCUCUCAACUCUAGGGCGGAAUCCCUCCCUCACCAGUGGGGUGAAGUGGAGGCAAACUAAAUCAAACUAAAUAAGACCCCAUCAUACCAUGUUGUAUUGCACUCUGCUUCUUUUUUUUUUUUUUUUUUUUUUUUUUUUUUGAGACAGGGUCUCACUUUGUUACCCAGGCUGGAGUGCAGUGGCACAAUCUUGGCUCAUUCCAACCUCCACCUCCUGGGUCCAAGCGAUUCUUGUGCCUCAGCCUCCCGAGUAGCUGGAACUACAGGUGCUUGCCACCACACCUGGCUAAUUUUUGUGGGUUUUUUUUUUUUUUUUUUGUAUUUUUAGUAGAGACGGGGUUUCGCCAUGUUGGCCAGGCUGGUCUUGAACUCCUGACCUCAAGUGAUCUGCCCACCUUGGCCUCCCAAUGUGCUGGGAUUACAGGCGUGAGCCACCACACCUGGCCUCAUCCUGCUUCUUUACACACUUACAUUUCCUGCAUAACUGAAAAAACUUGACCUUGUAACACCUCUUUUCAGGGGAAUGACAUAUAAAAUUAUUCAUAAUGACAGACUAUGAAAUAUUUUACCAAUAUUUUCCUUUAAGAAAGAUUAGGGAAGUAGUGUUUAGGAUAGAUUCUACAUGGAACAAAUUAGAAGUAGAAAGACCAGUCAAGAAGUAUCUGAACAGAAUGAUAGCCGAGUGGUGUGCAGUGGAUACUGUGAUAUGCUGCCCAGAAAGGACAGUGAAGGACAUCAGGCCCCAGCUGCUAGAAGUGCUGCUGCAGUCAGCCUGUAGCUCUUAGCCCUCUCAGAAAGUGACUGAGCUGCAGAGAGCUGCCUCACCCAAGGACAUGCCCUAUCUUUGUCCUUUUGGGCUGCUAUCCUACCAGAGACUAAGUAGUUCAAAAACAACAGAAAUGUAUUUCUCACAAUUCUAGAGGCUGGGAAGGCCAAAGUCAAGGCACCAGCAAAUUUGAUGCCUGGUGAGGGUUGGCUUCCUAACUGAUAGAGAAUGUCUUCUUACUGUAUCCUCAUGUGGUGGAAGGGAUAAGGGAGGGACCUCUCUGGGGUGUCUUCUAUAAGGGCACUAAUCCCAUCCCGAGGGCUCCAUCCUUGUGACCUAAUCACCUCCCAAAGGCCCCACAUCCCAAUACCAUCACCUUGGGGGUUAGCAUUUUAACAUACGAGUUUUGGAGGGACACAAAUAUUCAGACCAUAGCACACUCAUGCCUGGGGAAGCUCAUAUCGAGUGACCAAUGGAUGGUGGAGCAUAAGGGCUUGGCCAGCUCAGCCAUGCUUGGCAUGUUUCUAAAAGUCCACCUAACUCCAGAGCUCUUGGUGAGGUUUGCUGAGACUGUCAGCCUUGGGUUGUAGCUCAACGUCACUGCUCUGCCCACUCCUGCUUCUGUCCCCUACCUUCCACAGGUGUGGUCCCUCCCACAGGCACGCCUUCAUGAAAUGCCUCUUUAGAGUCUGGUUUCUGGGGAUACAACCUGUGAUGCUUAAAAAAUUAAGAGGCCGGGCACAGUGGGUCAUGCCUAUAAUCCUAGCACUUUGGGAGGCCAAAGCAGGAGGAUUGCUUGAGCUCAGUAGUUGAAGACCAGCCUGGGCAACAUAGUGAGACCAUGUCUCUACAAAAAAUUUUAAUAAAAAAGAAAGAAAAAAAAUUAGAGAUGAGAAAUGAGGGGAGGAGAGGGAAAUUGAGAAAUAAGCUUAGAUAAUUUUCACCCUAAGGGUAAAUCUCCCAAAUAAUGUUUCCCCAUCUUCUCAGAGAGCCCACAGUCUGAACGAGGAGAAAGCUGUUCAAUGAAAAAUCAAUAAGUAGUCAGGUGAAUCCUCCAGGAAUCUGCACAGAGUGGCAGUGCCACACCUUUUACAUAAACCAACCUCCUCACUCUCCCCUCCUCAGCAGCUCCCAGGCCUGAGGACGGGCAGCGUCACUUUCUCCCAAGAACGAUGGAGAAUCAUUUCUCACCAGUAAGAAUGUUGGCCUCACAUUAAAUUCGUGAUGUUUAAUGGGCUUAUUUAUGUAUUUAUUUAUUUUUGAAAUGGAGUUUCGCUCUUGUUGCCCAGGCUGGAGUACAGUGGCACGAUCUUGGCUCAUUGCAACCUCUGCCUCCUGGGUUCAAGAGAUUCUCCUGUCUUAGCCUCCGGAGUAGCUGGGAUUACAGGCACACGCCACCAUGCCAAGCUAAUUUUUUGUAUUUUUAGUAGAGAUGGGGGUUUCACCAUGUUGGCCAGGGUGGUCUCAAACUCCUGACCUCAGGUGAUCCACCCACCUCAGCCUCCCAAAGUGCUGGGAUUACAGGCGUGAGCCACCGCGCCCAGCCAGUUUAUUCAUUUAUACUUCAAUCAGGAUUAAGUACAUCAUGAGAAUAAAACAAUCCAGAUGGUUCUGAGACUGAAUCUGAGCUCCUGGGUAACACAGCAGGGUGGAUCUGGACUAGACUUCCUGCCCUGGAUCAGCAAGAUUGGUCUCAUAGGUGUGCACUGAAGGCAGCCCGAGAAGGUGUGAUUUGAUGGGCACCUAGAAGACCCAUCUAUCCCCAAAAGACAUGACUCAGUGAGGCUCUAGACCCUUUCUGCCACAGCAGCUUCAUGUGGGCUUUGUAGAUCAGCACAGCUCUUAGACCCAGCUGUGCACGGCGCCUGACUUGGGCCAUAUAUAUUAGAGAAGGGGUCAACAAACUACAGACUUUGGGCCAAAUCUAACCUCCCCAUCCAGACCUGUUUCUGUAUAGCCUAUGUAAAAAAUGUUUUUUACAUUUUAAAAAUCUUUUGUAAAUUUUUAAAUUUGUAAUUGUUGUGGGUACAUAGUAGGUGUAUAUAUUUAUGGGGUACAUGGGACGUUUUGAUACAGGCAUGCGAUGUGAAAUAAGCACAUCAUGUAACAUGGGGUAUCCAUCCCCUCAAGCAUUUAUCCUUAGUGUUACAAACAAUCCAAUUAUACUCUUUUAUUUUUACAUGUACAAUUAAGUUACGUUAUGAUUGAGUUUUUACUUUUUUGAGUCAGAGUCUCACUCUGUCGCCCAGGCUGGAGUGUAGUGGUGCGAUCUUUGCUCAUUGCAACCUCCGCCUCCUGGGUUCAAGUGAUCCUCCUGCCUCAGCCUCCCAAGUUACUGGGAUUACAGACAUGCACCACCACACCCAGCUAAUUUUGUAUUUUUAGUAGAGAUGGGGUUUUGCCAUGUUGCUCAGGCUGGUCUCCAACUCCUGAUCUCAGGUGAUCCACUCACUUCGGCUUCCCAAAAUGCUGGGAUUACAGGCGUGAGCUACUGUGCCUGAUCGAGUUUUUACAUUUUUAAAUAAUGGAAAGAACCCAAAAGAAGAAUAUUUUGCAACAUAGGAAGAUUAUCUGAAAUUCAAAUUUCAGUGUUCACAAAUGAAGUUUUCCUGGAACACAGCCAUGCUCAUUCUCUUAAAUAUCAUCUGUGGCUGUUCUCAUGCCCAACAGCAGAGUUGAAUAAUUGCCACAGAAACCACAUGGCCCUCAGAGACUAAAAGUUUACUACCUGGUACUGACCCCUGCUUUACAGCUUUGCUGCUUCAUUCUGUGGUCUGAAGACCAGCCUCACCAGCUUUACCUGGGAGGCUGUUAGAAACGCAGAAUCUUGGUCCCUGCCCUAGACCUACUGAUUCAGAUCCCAGGAAAUUUCUAUUCCCAUGAAUGUUGGAGAAAUGUCAGCUUAGAGGGUUCUGCCCCGGCCAUCCUCUGCUGCCCUUCCCCUCAGUGCAGGCAAGGUCCGCACUGAGUCACAGAUUUAACAUUAUAGUUAGUCAUAAAUGUUUUAAAAUUAUGAGUCUGCAAGGUCAAGGGCAUGCGUCCUCCUGGAAACUCUUCCCCAUCUAGGCCAUGCUCUGAGUGCCUGGGAAUUUUCUGCCUCCAGGGUCAAUGCCAGCUUCCUCUCUGGGGUCCAUUCUAGCCCAAUAGGUGGUCAAGAUGCAGCUGUUACAGGGUGGACGGAGAGUGCCUGUGCUUGAAUUUAUGGAUGGUGUGUCCUCUUGCUCAAGAAGCAAGUUCCUCAUGGCAUAAAGUGGGAAGACAAAGGGGAAGGAUGGCAGCUGGGGGUUAGCUCUUGCUGUCCCAUUACCUUCUGGCUUGGGCUAUAGAGCCCAGGAAUUCUAGCCUGCCAUGUAGUUAUGUAUAUAUAUUUGACAGUUUAUUCACUUGAUAGAUAACUUCUAAGUAUUUCAACAUAGCUUAUGGGCCUUCAUUGGUACUCUUGAAUGUGAAUAGCGUGUCUAUUGAAUAUUUCUCAACGUGUGUUCUGAGGACCCCAUGCAGCAGAAUUCACGUGGGUUGUUUGCUUAAAAUGCAAAUUCCUGGGUCCCGUUUUUGAUUAUCCUGAAUCAGAAUUUUUGAGGGUGGAGCCAAGGGAUCUGCAUUCUAACAAGUUUCCCAGUGGUUCUGGUUCACACCAGAGUUUUAGGAACUCUUGAAACUGGGGUAGGGUGGACAGGAGCUGGCUCCCAGUGGGCAGGAGCUUCAGGGGAGAAGAAAAGGAACCAGCCAGCUCAGGGGACCACAAUGGCUGCCAGCUUCAGACGCUUCCUAUUUCUCUCAUUAUCUCUCUUCCGCAUCUGGCCUGAGCCCAGCUCUGGGUGUGAGCUGUGGAGAGAGGUUUUCUGCCAGGAUUGGGCAAGGGCAUUCUCCUCUAAUACAGGGCCUUCAGAGACUGCUCUACCGAAGGAAGUGUCUGAGUCAAUGUGAAACUGGAAAGAAGAGAGAUAUGGUUUGGCUGUGACCCCACUCAAAUCUCAUUUUGAAUUAUAGCUCCUACAAUUCCCAUGUGUCGUGGGAGGGACCCGGUGGGAGGUAAUUGAAUCAUGGGGGCGGGUCAUUCCCAUGCUGUUUUUGUGAUCGUGAGUCUCACAAGAUCUGAUGGUUCUAUAAGAAGGAGCUCCCCCGCACAAGUUUUCUCUUCCCUGCCACCAUGUAGGAUGUGACGUUCCUCCUUCACCUUCCACCAUGAUUGUGAGGCCUCCCUAGCCAUGUGGAACUGUGAGUCCAUUAAACCUCCUUCCUUUAUAAAUUCCCCAGUCUUGGGUAUGUCUUUAUUAGCAGUGUGAAGAUGGACUAAUACAAAGAGGAACUAGGGGAGCUUGGAGGAACCAGAGACUCAAUCAGGGAUUCAAGUGAAGUCUCUGUUGCAAACCCUUGAGCAGGUGAGAACCCCUGGACUCUUGCAGGGGAUGUGGGAGGAGCUGUACAUACAGACAGUGCUGUCCAGCCAAUGUGGGUUCAAACCCUGCAUCUGUCACUGGCUAUGUGACCUUGAUCAAGUUCCUUAAGGUCUCCAGGUUUGUUUUCUUAUCUGUAAGAUGAGAAUCCUCUUCUGCAAACCAUGUCUGUUUAAAAUAUGUGCUUAUUUUGAAAGUGAUGUAGCAACAUUUUCUCUAGUUAAUGUUCUUUCUCCCUCAUAAUUUUAAAACAUUUAUUCAUGACUAUAAUGUUAAGUCUGUGACUUUAUUUUUGCUAAAUGUCCAUCUCAGAGAAGAAUAUGACUUUAUAUAGCGAAGUAUUUUUUAAAAAAUAGCCUUAGUAAUGCAUAUUUGCAAUAAAAAUAUUUGACAAUCCUAAUACCUUCAGGCUUGUCAUUGGAAUGAAAUGUGAUAAUUAAGUAAAACCCAUUCUUGCUACAAAGAUUUAAGUGGUGGCCACUUUUUUUCCCCCCGAGAUGGAGUCUUGCUCUGUCACCCAGACUGGAGUGCAGUGGUGUGAUCUCAGGUCACUGCAACCUCUGCCUCCCAGGUUCAAGCAAUUUUCCCUGCCUCAGCCUCCCAAGUAGUUGGGAUUACAGGCACCCGCCACCACACCCGGCUAAUUUUUAUAUUUUUAGUAGAGAUACGGUUUCACCAUGUUGACCAGGCUGUUCUUGAACUCCUGACCUCGUGAUCUGCCUGCCUCGGCCUCCCAAAGUGCUGGGAUUACAGGCAUGAGCCACUGCACCCGGCCGGUGGCCACUAUUUAUUAGGAAGCUUGUUAUCUUCUACCACUGCACCUGCUGAUGAUUGCUCUCACAGGCACUUAACCACUGGCUAAUAAAAUGAAAGUUCCUUAAACCUUACGCACAGGAAGCCACUUAGGCUGCAGUUGCAGCCCUGUGCCAGGGCAGUGCUUGGCCAGUGACCUAUAACUCCCUGAGGCUCCUUGUGAGGGAGCAACUCCUGAAGUCACAUGGCGAAGAUGCUCACAGGACAUGAUUCUUAGGAUGAUCCCACCUGUCGAGACCACAGGCUGUAACUCACUGUCACAAGUUAGUGAUGAACGCGGAACCUUAAUGAAACCGCCAGCGACAGCUGUGCCAUACUGCAAGUCACCACUAGGGGGAAGCAGAAUACAAGCAUCCGGGUAAGAACCAACGAAGCGCUGAGGAACGUGGCCCAGGAAGCCAAAUGGGGAUGGGAGGGGAGAAGGAUCCUAGGCGCACCCUCCCUGUUCACCCCACCCACCGGGCAGACCUGCACACUCCUGGUCUUGCUCUCAAACCAUCUGAUUCCUCUGUUUCUCUGUUCUCUGGUCCUGGUACAGCACAUUAUAUCUUCCGUAUGGCAAAGGCCAGUGGUUCUCUAACAUGGCUGUAUGUUUAAAUCACCUGGGGAGUUCUGUAAACGCUCUACAUCCUGGCCUUAUCUCAAUUAAAUCUGAAUCUCCAGUGUUUGGAAGCAGGGAUCAGUGCUUUUUAUAUUUAUUUAUUUACUUGCUUAUUUAUUUUUGAGACAGAGUCUCACUCUGUUGUCCAGGCUGGAGUGCAGUGGUGCGAUCUUGGCUCACUGCAACCUCAGCUCCCUGGGCUCAAGCGAUUCUCAUGCCUCAGCCUCCCAAGUAGCUGGGACUACAGGCAUGCACCACCAUGUCCAGCUAUUUUUUUUUUCUAUUUUAGUUGAUAUGGUGUUUUGCCAUGUUGGCCAGGCUGGUCUUGAACUUCUGACUCAAGUGAUCUGCCAGCCUCAGCCUCCCAAAGUGCUGGAAUUAUAGGCAUGAGCCACUGUGCCUGGCCUCCAGAGCUUUUUAAAACACAACAGGUGAUUCCAAUUUGCAGCCAAUUUUGAGAACCACUGUUUUAGGCAAAAGAUCUCAUUUCUUUUCACAUGAAAGCUGGCUUUCAUUGUUAGAGGACUCCUCCAAGAAGCCUCCCUAACGAACCACACGUUUUCCUCCUCCUCCUCCAUCUGUCCACGGGCCUGUCUGCAGCUGAUGCCAGUACUUAUCAUGGCUUAAGAUACAUAUGGGUUACCUGAGGGUGUUGCAGAUUCAGAUUCGUUCAGUCUGGGGUGAGGGGUUGAGACGCUGCCUCUCUAAGUCCCAGGUGCUGCUGGUCCACAGACCAUCCACAGUAGGGUUGGCAGGACAUCAACCUGUGUUUCCGCAUGUGCACCUUUGCAGUUGUUCUCUGUUUUGCAUUCCUUUUCUGCUUCUGUAUUAACCAUGUUUCUCCUUUCUGUAAACCUGAUGCUUUAACAUCUGCCCCGCGUGCAUCUGCAGGACACACCUUGCUCUGUGCAACCCAAUAAUAUGUCUCCCUCACUGUCCCCCUCCCCCUGGAAGGAGUCCUCCGGGUGAUAUGCUUUUCAAAUGAAAACCAACCCAGAGCUCGCAUCCCAACCAAUUCCCUUAUCUGGCUCUCACACUCCAGGCCACUAUCCCCCUGCCCUAAUCACCCAGGACCAGGUAUCUGACAAAUAGGAACAGCCUGUAUGCCCCAGAGCCUGCUGAAAUGAUUUAAACUAGCCAGUCCUGAGCUAGCUAACCCUGCCUUGCCCACUCUUUCCUGUGGAAACCAUAAUAAGGGCUCUGGCCACGUUCUCUUCUCCCUCUGCCUCUUGACCAGCCCUCGUGCUGCCCCGGGUGUCCCUGCAUGGCGUGGCGUGCCCACUUCUCUUAGAUCUGAGAGUAAGAAACUCUCUCUUCAGUGAGAGUCAUCAUCUGAUCUAUUGGCCUCACCAAAGCUGAAUAAAAUUAAAACCUAUUAGAGCAACUCCCCUGCUAGGAGGAGAGGCGUGGCUGGUUCCCAACUUGUCUGCAUCCCGCCUCUCCUCCCAGUCUUGCUUGGGUCCCUGCUAUGCUGCUCAUGGUAUGAACACAAGACCCUGUACACACACAGAAAAGAGCACAAUCAGUGACUGUUGAAUGAAUAAGUGAACAAAUGUAGGGAGAAAAAUUCUGAACUUGGAGACCUGGCUCUGCCACUAACAGCUGUGAGAGAUUGUGAAGGUGCCCCCGAGACUCAGUGACUUCAUCUGUCCUGUUAUUUCAUAGUGAGGCCACCUGAGCAAUAUGUGUUAAAGCCCCUUUUCAUCCACAUGGUAGCAUCCUCCUUUCUCUCUCCAUCUCCUACUUGUCACUGGUGUUCAGGGUUCCAGCCUUGCCCUUCACACACUGCCUGGGAGGUCCCAUCUGUUUCUGAGUCUUUGAAUCUUCACCCACAGCUGCUAUGGUCUGAAUAUCUGUGUCCCUCCAAAAUUCACACGUUGAAAUCCAAAUGCCCAAGGUGAUGGCGUUGGGAGGUGGGGCCUUCGGGAGGUGAUUAGAUCUUGAGGGUGGAGCCCCCAUUAAUGGGAUUAGUGCCCUUAUACAGAAGGCUCCGGAGAGCUGCCUCACUUCUGCCACCACGUGAGGACACAGAGAGAAGACUCACCUGUGAAUCAGAAAGCAGCCCUCACCGGACACCAAAUCCAUCAGCACCUUGACCUUGGACUUACUUCCCACCCUCCAGAACCGUGGGAAAUACAUUUCUGUUGUCUAUGAGUUACCCGAUCUAAGGCAUUUUGUUAUAGCAGCCUGAACAGACUAAGACACCAGCUCAGGCUCCCCUCUUGAGCUCCACACACGUCUAACCAAAUGCCGACAAUCCAUCUCUAUCCUGUCAACCUGCCUGUAAGUCAUAUUUGACACAUUCAAAAUCGAGUUUAUCAUGCCUUUGCGCCUCCCAAACCAGCUCCUCCCCUCAUAUGUCCUAUCACCACAAGUGCCCAGAAGGGGAGUGGCACACGGAAGGAAGCAAUCUGGGCGAUGGGGGUGGAAUUAGAUGGCAGAGAUUUGUGACAAGCAUAGAAGACCACCCAGCACGCUCAGGGGCAGCAUCAAUCAUAAGUCACAUCACAGCAGAGCCAUGGUGCUCAUCACAGCAGAGCCAUGGUGCUCAAGUCCCGACAGGGAGAGAGGGUGAGGGAGAGAGAGAGAGAGAGGGAAAGAGGGAGAGAGAGGGACAGAGAGAGACAGAGAGAGAGAGAGAGAUGCAGGGACCCUCGACCCAUGCAGGUGGGCUUGGGAUCAUGAGAGCACAUGAGGAUAGACCCCAGGCUGGCUUCACUGAGACGCCACCCAGAGAAAGGCAGCUGGAGGAUGAGGUGGGAAUGGAGCCCUUGCCACCUUCCUGGAGCUCCAAGCCAGUCACCCUCACCAGGGGCCCAGAGGCCAUUGGGGCAAACAGCACUGAAACUCUUUCAAACCCUGCUGGCCACUUCCCUCCCUUGGGGAGCAGCAGAGAAGCCCACUGGUGGCCAGUGCUCAGUCAGCACAGCUGAGGUGGGCUGGCAAAACUCCUGGCUCUCUCUGUCUCCGAGAAUUGGCUGGGGCAUCUGAUGGUGGUUGCAGAGCCUCAUCUCCCCUCUCUUGAACUUAGCGGAGAUCAGGCUCAGCAGAUCUGCCCAGGUCCCCAGGAGGCCGGGCUGGUUACAGUCUCUGGGGACCAGGUGCUCCCCUUUUGAACCAAGGUUAUUUCUCCCAACCAGGGAGCUUCCAUAAUCACAGGGAUGUCCCCUGACCCCAUCCCUACAAAUAUGUAGAGUGCAAGGGAGCAGGCAGCAGGGGGCAGGGGUGGGCUCUUAAUCCCUGGCAGGGAGCUGCUGCCGUCUGAUCCUCUGAUCCGAGUUGUGGGACAGCACUGGGUGUGUGCUCCUACUUCCUGGCUUAUAGGUUUCCUCCUCUGUGUGGCACCAGCAUGUGUGUCCUUGACUCCUUAGCAGAGAGGAGCCAAUUCACUCUGUCUGUGAAGCCAAAACACAAGAGACCUGCAAGUUUUGAACCCUCCUCUCCACCAAGAUGUGAGACGUAUACUGGCAGAUCCCUGAGAUCCCAUUAGGCUCAGGCCCUCCACCCACCGCCUCUUCUGGGCUCAAGCCUCCCUCUGGCACCUGCAGCACAGAACAGCCUCCUCCAGCCUGGCUCCACGCCUGCCCCACCCCCAUCUUCCUCCACCCUACCCCCUGGAAUGAGCUUCCCAAAAGGCAGAUCUUACCAGGUCUCUCUCCUCCUUGGAGCACUUAUCAAUCUCUACUUGCCUUUUCCAUUCUCUUCUCCCCAUCCGUUUCUACAUAUGGGUUUCCUCCCCAGUUUCACUGAGACAGGGCCAUUGCCCUUGCAGGCCUCCCUGCUGUUUCUGAAUACACAGCUUCUUCUUGGAUUUGUUCUCUUACUCUCUUCCCUGCUAGAAGCCGUGGCUAACCUGUUCUUAUCUUCCCUGACUGAGGUGGGCCUAUUUCUCCGCUCUGUGCUCAUAGCAGCCUCCUCUAACCUCCAUUUGAGACUUUGUUUUAUUGCAGGGGUCCCCAACCCCUGGGCCAUGGGCUGGUACCAGUCUGUGGCCUGUUAGGAACUAGGCCGUACAGCAGGAGGUGAGUGGCAGGCAGGUGAGUGAAGCUUCAUCUGUAUCUGCAGCUGCUCCCCAUGGCUCACAUCACCACCUGAGCUCCGCCUCCUGUCAGAUCAGCUGGGCAUUAGAUUCUCAUAGGAGCACGAACCCUAUUGCAAACUGCACAUACGAGGGAUCUGGGUUCCCUCCUCCUUAUCAGAAUCUAAUGCCUGAUGAUCUGUCACUCUUGAUGAUCUGUCACUGUCUCCCAUCACCCCCAGAUGGGACCGUCUAGUUUCAGUAAAACAAGCUCAGGGCUCCCACUGAUUCUACGUUAUGGUGAGUUGUAUAAUUAUUUCAUUAUAUAUUGCAAUGUAAUCAUAAUACAAAUAACCUGCACAAUAAAUAUAAUGCAUUUGAAUCAUCCUGAAACUACCCUGCGACCCCCGUCCGUGGAAAAACUGUCUUCCACGAAACCGGUCCCUGGUGCCAAAAAGGUUGGGGACCGCUGUUCUAUUGCAUUACAUUCUAAUACUUUAUUUUUUAUUUCUGUUUCCUUCACUGUGGGCGAGCCCCUUCAGGGCAGGGGUUUGUUCCCUCCGAAGCUUAACAGCCUGGCGGCAGAGCUGGCCUUUGAAGGUUUUCUGUGAAAUGAGUUCACCGGUGAUUCUCCAGAUGUGGUCCCUGAACCAGCAGCAUAGCAGGGCCCAGGAACCUGUGAGAAAUGCAAUUCUCAGUCCCGCCCUGACCUGCCGAGUCAGAGCUCUGGGGACGGCACCCGGUCCUCAGCCCUCGGUUCCCGUAGCCCUUCUGGGUGAUUCUCAUGCAUGCUCUCAUUAGAGGUCAGCUGAAUAAGGCACGUGAGAGCCUAAUGAAAUAUGAUGUGAAUGGGAUUUGCUAUUACUACUCAGCCUAGACUGAAGGAUCCUGGGGUGGUGAGCGGCCGAGGGCGGAGCUGUUCCCUGGCCCCCCAUCCUCAUCACUUGGCAUGCAGGCUGCCUGAGGCACCCGAGGCGCAUCUCUUCCUCAGCCCUUGUUAGACCAUGUUAUUUCUUUUUUAAUUUUAAUUUUUAGUUCUGGGGUACAUGUGCAGGAUGUGUAGGUUUGUUACACAGGUAAAUGUGUGCCAUGGUGGUUUGUUGCAUCUAUUAACCCAUCACCUAGGUCUUAAGCUCAGCAUGCAUUAGCUAUUUUUCCUAGUGCUCUCAAUUGUGUUGUUAGUAAUACACACGGAAGUUCUAGGGAGGAACCCAAUGCCCAAAGAGAGACCCUUGAUUCUCUCUCUCUCUCCUUUUUUUUUUUUUUUUUUUUGAGAUAGGUUUUCACUCUGUCACCCAGCUUGAAGUGCUGUGGUACGAUCGUAGCUCACUGCAGCCUCAAACUCCUGGGCUUAAACAAUCCUUCUACCUCAGCCUGUUGAGUAGCUGGGACCACAGGUGCAUGCCACCACACCCAACUAAUUUUUAAAUUAUUUGUACUGACAAGUCUCCCUGUGUUGCCCAGGCUGCUCUUGACCUCCUGGGCUCAAACAAUCAUCCUGCCUCAGCCUCCCAAAGUGCGGGGAUUACAGGUGUGAGCCACUGCACCAGGACAGAGAGCACCUGAUUCUAGGAGCCAUGGUUGGGACAUCCAAGUGGAACUCUGUGGUCAUAGAACCGGGUUUCUCAUCCCACACUCUCAAAUUAAAAACAUUUUGCUACGGGAAUCAGCUCCCUUUUGCCUUAGAGUUUCUGUUUUACCUGUAGUGACAAGUAUCCCACUCUAUUUUUUUUUUUUUUUUUGAGACGGAGUCUCGCUCUGUUGCCCAGGCUGGAGUGCAGUGGUGUGAUCUUGGCUCACUGCAACCUCUGCCUCCUGGGUUUAAGCAAUUCUCCUGCCUUAGCUUCCCAAGUACCUGGGAUUACAGGCACACACUACCACACCCGGCUAAUUUUGUAUUUUAAGUAGAGCCAUGUUGGACACACUGGUCUCAAACUCCUGACCUCAAGUGAUCUACCCACCUCGGCCUCCCAAAGUGCUGGAAUUACAGAUGUGAGCCACUGUGUCUGGCCUAUCGCACUAUAUUUUAAAAUUUGGUCUAAAGGAGUUGAUGAUGAGUUUCUUUUAGCCUUUUAUUUUUUGUCUGUUGGUUUUUGAAUGUAUUUGUUAUCAGUAUCUGGAGUUUGAAAAAGAAAGAACCUCAUUUUAUGAGCUCUGUAGUGGGAGGGCUGCUUGCUAUCACUGGAUUUUCUCCCAUGGCCUAGUACUACCAUAUCUGCUUCUAGAGUGUGCUCAGCAAAUAGUGGUUUUUGAUUACUCAAAGCAAAACUGAGAAGCCAUUUAACAGGCUGGGAAAUAAUUUCUUCAGCACUGAAGAAUAUAUCCAUAGGCUGGGCACAGUGGCUGACACCUGUAGUCCCAACACUUUGAGAGGCUGAGGCUGGAGGAUCGCUUGACUGCAGGAGUUCGAGACCAGCCUGGGCAAUAAAGCAGACUCUAUCUCUACCAAAAAAAAAAAAAAAAAAAAAAAUAGCUGAGUGUGGUGGCAUGCGCCUUGUAGUCCCAGCUACUUGGGAGGCUGAGGCGGGAAGACUGAGGCUGCAGUGAGCCAUGAUGAUUGAGCCCCAGAGGCUGAGGCUGCAGUGAGCUGUGAUGGCGCCCCUGCACUCCAGGCUGGUGACAAGAGUGAGACUCUGUCUCUGUUUAAAAGAGAAAAAAAAGGUUAGGUGCAGUGGCUCAUGCCUGUAAUCCCAACACUUUGGGAGGCCAAUGAGGGUGGAUCACCUGAUGUCAGGAGUUCGAGGCCAGCCUGGCCAACAUGGUGAAACCCUGUCUUUACUAAAAAUACAAAAUUAGCCAGGUGUGGUGGUGAGCGACUGUAAUCCCAGCUAUUUAGGAGGCUGAGGCAGGAGAAUCACUUGAACCCUGGAGGUGGAGGUUGCAGUGAGCGAAGAUCACACCACUGCCCUCCAGCCUGGGCGACAGAGCAAGACUCCAUCUCAAAAAAAAAAAAAAAAAUAUAUAUAUAUAUGUGUGUGUGUGUGUGUGUGUGUAUAUGUGUGUGUGUAUAUAUACAUGUGUGUGUAUGUUAUAUAUAUACACACACACACACAUAUAUAUCCAUAAGUCAGAGCUGAAGUUCUGGUGAGCACUUCUUGGAGUUCUGUGACAAGCCCCUCCACUGGUGGUCUAACUCCUGCCUUCCUCGCUUGAGUCAUCUCGAGACAGUCACUCCAACAUGCCUUACUCUUUCAGUUCCUUGAAUUCCCUGAACUCCCGUUGUUCUGGACCUUUGGAUCUGUCUUUCCCCUGCCUGGAAAUUCUCCUCCCCUUUUCCUUCAGGUCACAGUGAAAUCAUUUGGCUCAGAGUGGCUUCUAAUCCUCUGUGAGGCUAGGACUUUACCCUUUUCCGUGCUCAUGCUCUCGGGCUUUCCUGUAACCUCUCCUUUCUCGUCUCCUUUCCCCCUCUAGCCUGGAAGAGCAGGAACUGUGUCUCCUUCACUUUCCCCAGCACCUAUCUCAGAGCCGGGCCCGCAGUAGGGGCUCAUGCAUUUGUUGGCUGGCGUUAACGUGAACCAGCACGUCGGCUGUGGAUGAAUAACUUUCCAGGUCCCAAAAUUGUCCACUUGCUUCUCUUUCACCGUUGGGCUGAGAACGUAGCUACUAAUAAACCCGGAGUGGGAGGGGGUAUCAGUAACAGAGACAAGUGUGUGAUUGAAAUGGAAGACAGCUGGAGAGAAGAGAACAGAAAUAGGCAGGACGUGCACGGCCAGCAGGAAGUUGCUGUGAUUCCCGCAAAGCAUGUCUUUUCAUUCGUGAAGAGGGGUCCCUAAGAUGAGAGUUCCAUGGAGACUUUCCCUAAGGGCUCACUAUGCCUUAUUCUCUGAUAUGUUGAGCCUUCGGGGGUUGGCUGUAAAUAGAGACUGAACUUUGACUUAGAAGAAAAAGGGGAGAGAAGAACAUGUUGUAUCUCUUUGUGUAAAUGGUUACUACUCGCUCCCCAAACAAGCUACUUUAAUAGGGGCAUCACACAAAUUAUAGAAUACAGGUCUCUCAUCCAGCCAGCCAUGAUGGUGCGCACCUAUGGUUCCAGCUGCUUGGAAGGCUGAGGUGGGAGGUCCUUUGAGCCCAGGAGUUCAAGGUUCAAGUCCAGCCUAGUUAACAUAGCAAGACUCUCUAAAACAAAACAACAAAACAAAAACAAUCUAAUCUUAGGAUUAGAAAGGACAAGGACACCAGAUGUCAUCAAGUCCCAUCCUUUGACCUCUGUAGGAAUUCCCUGUGCAUAUUUCUGGUAAGAAUUCACUAAUCCACUAGUUGUCAGUUCUCCACUUCACUAACUUAUGGGGCAGCCUAGUUCCAUAUUUGCAGGGUUCUAGUUGUUGAAAAAGUCCAUGUAGCCCAGUACAUUGUAUGUAGUGGUGGUUUAUUGAAUGAGAUACAUGAACACAGACAACAUUUAUAAUCGAGACUUUAGAAAUUAUUUUCAAGUACUGUUGUAUUGUUUUAAAAAUAGAAUACGGUGAGAAGAUUGUCUUAAAUGUUUGACAUAGUGUCUCCAGCUUUCAGAUCAUACCAGAUACAUAUUCAAUUUAUCACCUGGGCAAGUAAAAAAUUAAAAAGACAAUAAAGCCUGUCUUGUUAUAUACUUAGAGCCAAUUACUCAAUAUUUACCAAAUAGCCCACCAAAUGUCUCAUAAGCAUUUUUUGAGUGUGUUCAGUCUUGAGAUUGAACUUUCAGAACGGGCCUCCCUUGCUCAUCCUGGGCUCAUGAUGAUCCGCUUCAGCAUUUACACAAGGAGAGCAAGGGAACAGCACAGAUCAAUGGAAAGGAGACAGCAGAUUAUUUUCCAGUUCUAUCCCUGCUACUAACUAGUGGUGAGAUCUUAGGUAAGUUGCUAGACACUGCUGGAUCUUAGUUUCCUCCUCUGUAGACUACGGUGAUUAAACCAGGUGGCCUUCAAGGUUCAGUACCACUGUAACCCUCUGUGGCUCUAAAACUUUACAUUUUCCUCCUAAAGACAAAAGCUUCAUGAGUGAAUUUAACUCUCAUCCCAUUGAAUAACUGAUCAGUAGCAACAAUGUGCUCCUACUAAAUAUAGAAGGUGAAGUUAAAUAUGGAAUAUAGCUGUCCACAUCCCCUGAAUUCGCAGAAACUUAGGUUAAUAGUUGGCUACAUCACUCAGAUCAUAAUCUCUCCAUGGCACAUCAUUUCUGCCUUCAUAGUUGGCUAAAAUACCUGGAUGUCAGCUGAAUCUAGACUUUUUUAAUGAUUCUAUUUUUAAACUACAGUCAUGAGACCACAUAAUCCUAGUGGGGUAAAUGCCAGAGGAAGAAAAAAAAAAAAAAGAAACAGAAAACAAAACCAAAAAACUGUAAAGAAAUCUGAAGUGGUUUUCCAUAAUUCUCUUUUUAGAAUAAUUUUUUCUCUGAUAUGAUAUUUUCUGAUAGUAAGGUAUGAUUAUUAUGAAAUCAUAAUGUAUUUAGUAGAAAAAUAAAUUACAUUAUUUCAUUAGGAGCUAAGGUUUUCAGUGCAAGAAAAAUAUAAAUAUCAAAUCAAAGAAGUUAAAUAAAAACCUUCUAUCCUAAGUUUGAAUUGGAAAUAUUAAUAAGAACACAUGAUGUGUUUUAUGGUAAAAUACACUAUUCUUAGCUCUGUCUGUUGAAAAGGCCUAGAUACCUUGACUAAGAGUAGCUAAGUGUGUCCUUAGCACCCAGGCCGUUUUCUUUCUUCAUUUUUUUUUUUGAGACAGGGUCUCACUCUGUCACCCAGGGUGGAGUGCAGUGGCGUGAUCUUGGCUCACUGAAACCUCCACCUCUGGGGUUCAAAUGAUCCUCCCACCUCAACCUCCCAAGUAGCUGGGAUUACAAGUGUAUGCCACCAUACCUGGCUAAUUUUUGUAUUUUUAGUAGAGAUGGGGUUUCACCAUGUUAGCCAGGCUGGCCUCAAACUCGUGACCUCAAGCAAUCUGCCCACCUCAGCCUCCCAAAGUGUUGGGAUUAAAGGCAUGAGCCACAUAUCUGGCCUGGCCUAAUGCACUCUAAAUACCAUUUCUGGUUAAAGUGAACAGGGUUCUUUGGAGAAAUGGUCGAUUCAACAUCAGGGAUAAGUUUGGAACAUCUUGUCAUAUCAGCCAGCAAAGAAACUGUCAAAGACGGUAAAAGCAUGCCAAAAAGACUUAGGAACCAGAGCCUAUUGGCCAGAGGUAAGACAAUUACCAAAACAAACAAACAAACAAACAAACAAACAAAAACAGGAAGAAUCCAGAAUCUAAUCAGGACCUAACUACUAACUACAAACUUAUAGGAAAUACACUCUAGGAUAGUAAAUUUUGUGUGUCAACUUGACUGGGCCAUGGUGUGCCCAGAUAUUUGGUCAGACAUUAUUCUGGAUGUUUCUGUGAGGGCGUUUUUAGAUGAGAUUAAUAUUUAAAUUGGUAGACUAAGUAAAGCAGAUUCCUCCCUUUUUGGAUCAUUGUAGACCUCAUCCUACAGUUGAAGGCCUGAAUAGAACAAAAAGGUUGACCCACCCUAACUAAGAGAGAAUUCUUCCCAUCUGACAGCCUUCCAGAGGGAGCAUCAACGUUUUUCCUGUCUUUGAACCAGAACUGAAACAUCAGCUCUUCCUGAGUUUUGAGCCUGCUGGCCUGUGGACUGAACCACACCAUCAGCUCUGCUGUUUCUCAGUUUUUCAGAUUACACUCUCUUGGGGCUCCAGGUGGUUGGCUGCAGAUCUUGGGACCUGUUUGCCUCCAUAAUUAUGUGACCCAAUUCUUUGUAAUAAAUCCUUCUUUCUCUCUCUUUCUUCUAUUGAUUCUGUUUCUCUGGAGAAACUUGGCUAAGCCACACCUCCACAGGGAUAAAAUCAACAAAAAGCAGAGUAUAGGACAUUUUAUAGGCCAACAGAAAGUAUUACUCAUCAACAAAUAAAUUGCCCCCCCCAAAAAAAACAAUAGAGGGAGGGGUAAUUUAUAGAUUAAAAGAUAUUUAAAAGGCAUAUUCACCAAAUGCAAUGGAAGAGCCUUAGUUUGGAUUCCUAUUUGAACAAACCAAGUUUUAAAAAAAGUAUGAGACUAUCAGGGAUAUUUGGAACAUUUCCUGGAUACUUGAUGAUGUUAUGGAAAUAUUGUUGAUUUUUUUUGGAUGCAAUGACAUUUACAGGGCUAUGCUUUUAAAAGUCCUUAAAUUUUAGAGAUAUAUACUGGAAUAUUUAUGAAUAAAAUAAUUUCAGUAUCUGGAAUCUGCUUCAAAAUAAUUCAUCAAGAGUAGGAGUAUGGGUUAAAAGUAGAGGGGGUGGCUGGGCGCGGUGGCUCACACCUGUAAUCCCAGCACUUUGGGAGGCUGAGGUGGGCAGAUCAUGAAGUCAGGAGAUCAAAACCAUCCUGGCUAACAUGGUGAAACCCCAUCUCUGCUAAAAAUACAAAAAAAAAAAACGGGCAUGGUGGCAGGCGCCUGUAGUCCUAGCUACUCGGGAGGCUGAGGCAGGAGAAUGGCAUGAACCAAGGAGAUGGAGCUUGCAGUGAGCCGAGAUCAUGCCACUGCACUCCAGCCUGGGAGACAGAGCGAGACUCUGUCUCAAAAAAAAAAAAAAAAAAGUAGAGGGGGUAUAGAGGAAACAAAACUGGUCAUGUGUUGAUAAUUGUUGAAGAAUACAAGAUCAGAAUAUGGGGGAUUAUUAUACUAUUUUCUCUACUUUUGUACAUUAUUUCUAUACUAAAAUUUUUACAAGUAAAUGCUUUAUUUUUUUUGCCUACCUUGACGUUAAACUUAUAUUUUUAAGGCAUCAAUGACAAGUUAUUCCUUUCUUGUCUAUUACAGAUAUAUUUCCACUUGCCUCCUAAGCUGUAUGAUUUUUUUUUCAUUUGCUUCCUAAACUAUAUGAUUUCAGUUCUCCUUUAUCUCAUGAGGAGGGUUCCCAUUUACUUUGUCAUAUAUAUUUACAUGUAGUGAUUUGUUAAAUUAUUAUUUCAAAAUUAUUACUGAAAUGCACAUUCUCUGGUUCAAGCUCCAAUGGGUUCUCACUGCCUUGUUAUAAAGCCAGGCAGCCUCACUUUAACAGUCAAAGCCUAUCAUCAUCAAGCUCUACCCAACACAUCAGACAAGCGCUUCCAAAAAAUAGAAGAGAGGAAACACUUCUCAAUCCAUUUUAUGAGACCAAUAUUACCCCAACACCAAAAGCAGACAACAACAUCAAAAAAAAGAAAGAAAAAGAAAACUACAGACUAAUAUCCACAUUUUAGUGAAUAGUAAAAUCCUCAAUAAAGUAAUAGCAAACCGAAUCCAGACACAUAUAAAAAGAAUUUUACACUUGAAAAUGGUUCAAAUGGCAAAUUUUAUGUUAUAUAUAUUUUACCACUAUUUUUAAUAGUAAAGUAAAUAAAUAGUGGUAAAAUAUAUAUAACAUAAAAAUAUUUUUAAAAUAGUAAAAUAAAUAAAUAAACAUAAACAUACACCAUGACUAAAUGGGAUUUAUCUCAGGGAUUCCAGGUUGGUUUAAUAUUAGAAAAUCAAUUAAUGGAAUACAUUAUAUUGAUAGAAUAAACAGAAAAUCACACAAUCAUCUCAGUAGACACAGAAAAUACAUUUGACAAAAUCCAAGUUCAUUAACUCCCAGAUAAACAGCACCUAUUCUAGAGGAUCUCUAAACAUAAUGAGAUGACAGUAGCGAAGAAAGACUCUGAGUAUCGAAGGUGAAUGGAUCUCAGAGAUUGCCACAGGAAAAGAUAUCUUUUUGAAUCUAGUGGAGAAAAUCUUUGUAAAUCUACUUUUAUCAUAAACAAUGCCAGCAUGAAUGACUUAUCCAAGAUCUAAGAGGAGUGUAGAAUGAAAACUCUUAAAUGAUAGGAAGUGUGUGUAUUUCUCCUUUGCCGCUGGCAUGGUUAUUCACCUGCCAGGUGGCCAGUGAGUAUUUUUGUAGUGAAUGGCUUGGAGUUUUAGGGCAAGUACUCUAGACUUAAACUUAACUUUCCUGGCUGUGUGAUUGUAAGCAAAUUACUUAACCUUAAAGUCUCAGCAUUUUGCUUAUUGUUUCAUCUCUAAAGUUAAGAUAAUAAUUCUACUACCAUAAGUGAGGGUUUUAAAACACAGUAUCAGCGGGGCAUGGUACACCUGUGAUAUGGUUUGGCUCUGUGUCCCCACCCAAAUCUCAAGUUGAAUUGUACUGCCAUAAUUCCCACGUGUUGUGGGAGGGACCCAGUGGGAGAUAAUUGAAUCAUGGGGGCGGUUUUCCCCAUACUGUUUUAAUGGUUGUGAAUAGGUCUCACAAGAUCUGAUGGUUUAAUAAGGGGCUUCUACUUUCGCUUCUGCCUCAUUCUCUCUUUCUGCCACCAAAAGGCAAAAGUGUCUUUUGCCUUCUGCCAUGAUUGUGAGGCCUCCCCAGUCACGUAGAACUGUGAGUCCAUUAAAUUUAUUUUCUUCCCAGUCUCAGGUAUGCCUUUAUCAGCAGUGUGAAAAUGGACUAAUACAACCUGUUACCCUAGCACUUUGGGAGGCCAAGGUAGGCGGAUGACUUGAGGUCAGGAGUUUGAGACCAGCCUGGGCAACAUGGUGAAACAUCAUCUCUACAAAAAAUACAAAAAUUAGCCAUGUGCUGCACACCUGUAAUUCCAGCUACUUGGGAGGCUGAGGCGGGAGGAUCACUUGAGCCUGGGAGGCAGAGGUUGCACUGAGCCAAGAUCACGCCACUGCACUCUAGCCUGGGUGACAGAGUGAGGCCCUGUCUCAAAAAAAAAAGCAAAAACACAGUAUCUUUGAAAUGUGCAGCACUGCAGCAUGGCGUCUGGGACAUGUACACCCUUGUCAUCAUGAACAACAUCCAAGACCAUAAAAAUCACGGGUCUCCAGCCAUCCCAUUACUGGGUAUACACCAAAGGAAUAUCAAUCAUGCUGCUAUAAAGACACAUGCACAUGUAUGUUUAUUGCGGCACUACUCACAAUAGCAAAGACUUGGAACCAACCCAAAUGUCCAACAAUCAUAGACUGGAUUAAGAAAGUGUGGCACAUAUACACCAUGGAAUACUAUGCAGCUAUAAAAAAUGAUGAGUUCAUGUCCUUUUUAGGGACAUGGAUGAAGCUGGAAACCAUCAUUCUCAGCAAACUAUCGCAAGGACAAAAAACCAAACACCGCAUGUUCUCACUCAUAGGUGGGAAUUGAACAAUGAGAACACUUGGACAAGGAAGGGGAGCAUCACACACCGGGGCCUGUUGUGGGGUGGGGGAAGGCGGGAGGGAUAGCAUUAGGAGAUAAACCUAAUGUAAAUGACGAGUUAAUGGGUGCAGCACACCAGCAUGGCACAUGUAUACAUAUGUAACAAACCUGCACGUUGUGCACAUGUACCCUAGAACUUAAAAUAUAAUAAAUAUAUAUAUAUAUAUUUAAAAAAAAUCAUGGGUCUGUCUUGGGACUAUUAGGCUUGCCAGUUGUAUACAUAAAUGUUAGAUUAGACAGCUUCAUAAUACCAAGUUAAAAAUGACUAAUGUCCUUGUGUAAUGAAUAAACUUGCUCCAAUAACCUUGAAAAUGAAAGAAAAGUUUGAUCACAGAGUGAAAUUUAAUUCAGACAAUUUCAGCAGCUGUGUAUUUCAGAUAAACCCAUAAAUGGCACAAAGAAAUGAUAGCCCUAGCUGAGUUGUCCAAAAAAGAGGGUUUGGACAACUCUUUUUGUCCAAAGACAAAAAGAGGCAAGUCCUUAGCCUGUGUAUUGGGUCACUGCCAAGAGAUGAUGUUGUCCAUGUGGAGGCAGAGAGUGAACUUCCUUCAGUUCUGACUGACUGCUGUAAAUAGUGUCACAUGGCUAAACCUGUGUAAGUAGUUUCAAAACCUGCUUUAAAGUAUAGUUAAGGCCAGGCUCAGUGGCUCAUGCCUGUAAUUCCAGCACUUUGGGAGCCUGAAGUGGGAGUAUUGCUUGAUUCCAGGAGUUCAAGACCAGCCUGAGCAGCAUGGCGAAAACCCAUCUCUACAAAAAAUACAAAAAUUAGCCAGAUGUGGUGGCACAUGCCUGUAGACCCAGCCACUCAAAAGGCUCAGGUGGGAGGAUCACCUGAGCCCAGGAGGCCCAGGCUACAGUGAGCCAUGAUCAUGCUACUUAACUCCAGUCUGGGUAAAGGAGGGAGACUCUGUCUCAAAAAAAAAAAAAAAAAAAAGGCAAAUAUAUAUAUAUAUAUAUAUAUAUAUAUAUAUAUAUAUAUUAAGCAUUUGCACUUUUGACUCAACUAUAUGUAUAUAUACAGAAAUAUAUAUACAUACAUAUAUAUGUGUAUAGAUAGAUAGAUGAUAGAUAGGUAGAUAGUUAGAUAUUGAUAGUUAAGAGUCAAACUCAAAUGCUCUUAUGGGCAAAACAAUGGAGAGAAAACCUUAAGGAUAUUAUUAUAGAGAGAUGUGGGUCCCUGGUUAGAGGGCUUGCCCUGUCGACAAGGAUUUACAUGAGAAACAUUUCAGAAGCACCAACAUAGCAAACACAAAGGCUCUGAAGGCCUCAGUCCUUGGCAAGCAGCUUACAGCCACUGAUUAGGGGAACAAGGCAUAAAUUAGGCAUUACUCUUUUGUAUCCCUGAGCCCGUAGAUUGUUUUUCUUCUUCCAAUCAGAUAAGAACCUUGCAGAAACUGGACUGUUAGUAGUGGAAUUAUAGCAUCACAGUAUCUUUUGAGUCGUUUAUAUUUUCCCCAUUUCUGGUUGCUUCCAGUUCCCUUUAUAAAUUCUUCCUUUCCUUUUUUCUACCUAAAACUCAGCUGUUAUUUAGAAUGAGGUGGAACUUGGCUACCAUUUCUGUUUUUUGUCUUCUUCUCCAAAUACUUAAUGCCUCAAACAGGUUUGUGUGUUCUGGCCUAAAAACUAACUCCUCUGCCAAGUGGUCCCCAGGCCCUGACUCCUUUUUCCUCACUUCCAGCAUCUGAGAGACUCCCAACCACCCUUGUAAAGGGAACCGUGUGAUAGGGCUGUGCCCACCCUAGGUCCUGCCCACAUGUUUAUUCUGGGCCUCUUGGCUUCCUUUGAUACCCAAGUCUUUGUCCUUAUGAAAGUUAUUUACUUCUGAAAAAUGUUUACAGAAUGAUGACAUGAAGUCAAUAUUGGUUUUAAUAAAUUUAAAUAACUUUCCUUACAGGCAGAAUGAACAAAAUAAGUAAAAGUGGCUAUAAAGAUUAUAAUCUGAAUGUGAUUUAGCAAUGUAGUAUUGAAAGGCAAUGUUUAAAAAGGUAAAAUCAUAAUUCAUACAAAUACAAAUGACCAUCGUUAACUCAUGAGUUAUUUAUUAUUAAUUAUGAUUAAUUAAUGCAGGACUCAGUGAGGUAUUACAGCUGGAUUUUACAGGCUUUACCCAACAAAAUUCUUCAAUAGGGUUUAAGUACUACUGCAUGUAAAGUGUUUAUUUUUAUUUUUGAGACAGGGUCUCACUCUGCCACCCAGGCUGGAGUGCAAUGGCACUGUCAUAACUCACUGCAGCUUUCACCUCCUGGGCUCAAGUGAUCUUCCCACCUCAGCCUCCUGAGGAGCUGGAACUACAGAUGGCACCAUUGUGCUUGGCUAAUUUUUUUUUUUUACUUUUUGUAGACAUGGGGUCUUGCUAUGUUGCCCAGGUUGGUCUUGAACUCCUAGCCUCAAGUGAUCUUCCUGCAUUGGCCUCCCAAAGUAUUAGGAUUACAGGCAUGAGCCACUGUGCAUGAUCAAGUGUUUCAUUAAGAACAAGUUCUGCUGUUCUGUGUCUCACAGAAGUGCACAGGUAAAGCAUUUGCACUUGUGGGAUCAAGUGGUAGCUUUGAUUUAUAAAGCAGAACUGUCAUCAGGAAUUUGGUUGAGGAAGCUGAAGUUGUUUUAUCUCAAAGUUGUUUUCCUGGAAUAAUUCAGUUCUCCAAGGGAACUCUGGGAUUCACAAAUCAUGACGAGGUCAGGAAAACAGUCAUGCUAAUGAAAAUGGGGUCUGGUAUAGGACAGGGGAAAGACCAAUAACUUCUUUCUCUAAAGUAGGAUGCUGGAGACACCACCAUAGAACAAAAAAAGUCAAAUAACUUGAGGACAGGAGUGAACAGGAAUCAAAGGCAAAGGAAAAAGGUAAAGUGACUUUUAGCAUAAAUAAAGGCCUCAAGAAGUAUCUGUUCUUUCCUCUCCUGAAUGACUCCAUUAUGAGGGAUAGAAAUCAAAGAGCAAUAGAAUGGGGUGGAGUAGAAGUACUAGAGUGUUCUAGCUGAGCUCCACUCAAGGUCACACUAUUAUUUAAGAACACAGAAUGCAAGGCUGGGCAUGGUGGCUCACAUCUGUAAUCCCAGCACUUUAGGAGGCUGAGGUGGGAGGAUUGCUUUGGAGUUUGAGACCGGCCUGGGCAACAUAGGGAGACUGUGUCUCUAAAAAAUAAUUUUUUCUUCUUUUGAGACAGAGUCUCGCUGUGUCACCCAGGCUGGAGUGCAGUGAGCUGAUCUCGGCUCACUGCAACCUCCACCUCCCUGAUUCAAGCAAUUCCCCUGCCUCAGCCUCUGGAGUAGCUGGGAUUACAGGUGUGCACCACCCACAUCCAGCUAACUUUUUUGUAUUUUUAGUAGAGAUGGGGUUUCACCAUGUUGGCCAGACUGGUUUUGAACCCCUGACCUCAGGCAAUCCGCCGGCCUCAGCCUCCCAAAAUGCUGAGAUUACAGGUGUGAGCCACCGCACCCAGCUAAAAAUUAAAAUUUUAGCUGAGUGCGGUGGUAUGUGCCUGUAAUCACAGCUACUCCAGAGGAGAGAGGCUCAGGUGGGAGGAUUGCUUGAACCCAGGAGGUUGAGGCUGCAGUGAGCCAUUGAUAUGGUUUGGCUGUGUCCUCACCCAAUAUCUCAUCUUGAAUUGUAAUCCCCAUAAUCCUCGUAAAAUCUUCACAUGUCACGGCAAAGAUCAGGUAGAGAUAAUUGAAUCAUGGGGGUGGUUUUCCCCACGCUGUUCUUGUGGCAUUGAGUGAGUUUUCAUGAGAUCUAAUGGUUUUAUAAGGGGCUCUUUCCUUUUUGCCAUGUGAAGAAGGUGGCUUUUUCGCCUUCUACCAUGAUUGUAAGUUUGCUGAGGCCUUCCCAGCCACAGGAACCAUGAGUCAAUUAAACAUCUUCCCUUUAUAAAUUACCCAGUCUCAGGUAUUUCCUUAUAGCAAUGUGAGAAUGGACUAAUACAGUCAAUUGGUACCACAGAGAGUAUGUUGCUGCUAUAAAGAUACCUGUAAAUGUGGAAGCAACUUUGGAACUGGGUAACAGGCAGAGGUUGGAAGAGUUUGGAAGGUUCAAAAGAAGACAGGAAGAUGUGGAAAAGUUUGAAAGUUUCUAGAGACUUGUUGAAUGACUUUGACCAAAAUACUGAUAGUGAUAUUGACAAUGAAGUCCAGGCUGAGGUGGUCUCAGAUGGAGAUGAGGAUCUUUUUGGGAACUGGAAUAAAGGUGACUCUUGCUGUGCUUUAGCAAAGAGACUGGAAGCACUUUGCCCCUGCCCUAGAGAUCUGUGGAAAUUUGAACUUGAGAGAGAUGAUUUAGGGUAUCUGGCAGAAGAAAUUUCUAAGAAGCAAAGUGUUCAAGAGGUAACUUGGGUGCUCUUGAAAGCAUUCAGUUGUAUGCAUUCACAAAGAGAUGAUUUGGAAUUGUAACUUAUAUUUAAAUGGGAAGCAGAGCAUAAAGUUUAGAAAAUUUGCAGCCUGACAAUGCAAUAUAAAAGAAAACCCCAUUUUCUGGGGAGAAAUUCAAGCAGGCUGGAAAAAUUUGCAUAAGUAAUGAGGAACCAAAUGUUAGUCACCAAGACAAUGGAGAAGAUGUCUCCAGGGCAUGUCAGAGGUCUUCAUGGCUGCCCCUUCCAUCACAGGCCUGGAGGCCUAGGAGGAAAAACUGGUUUCAUGGGCCAGAUCCAGGGUCUUGCUACUUUGUCCAGUCUCAGGACUUGGUGCCCUGCAUCCUAGCCAUGGCUAAAAUGGGCCAAUGUACAGCGCAGACCAUUGUUUCAGAGGGUGCAAGUCCCAAGCCUUGGCAGUUUACACAUUGUGUUGGGCCUUCAGGUGCACAGAAGUUAAUAAUUGAGGUUUGAGAACCUCUGCCUAGAUUUCAGAGGAUGUAUGGAAAUGCCCAGAUGUCCAGGAAGAAGUUUGUGGCAGGGGUGGAGCCCUCAUGGAGAACCUCUGGUAGGGUAGUGUGGAAGGGAAAGGUGGGGUCAGAGCCCCCACACAGAGUCCCUACUAGGGCAUAGCCUAGUGGAGCUGUGAGAAGAGGGCCACUGUCCUCCAGACCCCAUAAUGGUAGAUCUACUGACGGCUUACACCAUGCACCUGGAAAAGUUGCAGACACUCAACGCCAGCCUGUGAAAGCAGCCAGGAGUGGGGUUGUACCCUGCAAUGCCACAGGAACAGAGCUGUCCAAGGCCAUGGGAGACCACCUCUUGCAUCAGUGUGACCUGGAUGUAGGACAUGGCGUCAAAGGAGAUAUUUUGGAGCUCUAAGAUUUAAUGACUGCCCCACUGAAUUUGGACUUGCAUGGGGUCUGUAGCCCCUUUGUUUUGGCCAAUUUCUCCCAUUUGUAACAGGUGUAUUUACCCAGUGCUGUACUCCCAUUGCAUCUCAGAAGUAACUAACUUGCUUUUGAUUUUACAGGCUCAUAGGUGGAAGGUACUUGACUUGUUUCAGAUGAGACUUUGGAUUUGGACUUUUGGGUUAAUACUGGAAUGAGUUAAGAAUUUGGGGGACAAUUGGAAAGGCAUGAUUAUGUUUUGAAAUGUGAGGACAUGAGAUUUGGGAGGGGCUGGGGCAGAAUGAUGUGGUUUGGCUGUGUCCCCACCCAAAAUCUCAUCUUGAAUUGUGAUCCCCAUAAUCCCCAUAAUCCCUGUGUGUCAAGGGAGAGACCAGGUGGAGGUAAUUGAAUCAUGGGAGCAGUUUCCCCCAUGCUCUUCUGGUAAUAGUGAGUUUUCACAAGAUCUGAUAGUUUUAUAAGAGGUUCUUCCCCCUUCACUCAUCACUUCUCCUUCCUGCUGCCUGUGAAGAAGGUGGCUUGCUUCCCCUUCACCUUCCACCAUGACUGUAAGUUUCCUGAGGCCUUUCCAGCCAUGCAGAAGCAUGAGUUGAUUAAACCUCUUUCCUUUAUAAAUUACCCAGUCUCAAGUAUUUCCUUAUAGCAAUGUGAAAAUGAACUAAUACAGCCAUGAUCACCACUGCACUCCAGCCUGGGUCACAGAGCAACACUUUGUCUCAAAAAACAAAACAACAAGAACAACAAAAACACGGAGGCUAUUUCUCUACCUCUUGACUCUGUGUUUGGCCAUAUGACUUGCUUUGACCAAUGGGAUGUCAUAGACAUGAUACAAUCAGAGGUCUACACAACCACUCAUGUAAUUGAGCUUGUUUUGCUGUGUUUUUGCCAUGAAAAGUAUAUGCUCAGGCAAGCCUACUGUUCUAGGAGGUAGACAGGUAGAGCAGAACCAAGUCACCCCAGCCAACCUCAUCUAAGGUCAGCCAACCCCCAUUAGACCCCAGGUGCAUAAGUUGAGUCCAGUUGAGAUCAGCAAAGUCCAGCCUAGAUUAGCUGAACUUCACAGGUACAAGAAAUGAAUGUUCAUUAUUGUUGUUGACCAUGAGGAUCUGUGGUUGUUGGUUACAUAGCAAUUUUCUGACAAUAGCUAACUCACAGGUUGACUUAUUUUCAACAUACCCUAAUGAGAUGACAGAGAUUGCUGCAGAUAUGCCCAGUGCAGUUUUGGCUUCCUAGAGGGUCUUCAAGAGAGUACACCCUAGAAAAAGGGCAGAAACCAUCACUAUAUACCCAGGCUGCCUCUUCUGUUUGGAAGAGAUUCUUAUUUGAAAACCAUUCAUAUGCCAGGCUAGUGGCAUCCCCAGCGAAACUGAGGGUCAGAAAAUAAUAUCUGAUAACUGGGAAGAACUAAGGUCAUUUCUAGUUGCAGAGUAUCUGAAACUCGAGUAGGAAACUAGAGAAUGGAACAAAUAGUGGUAGCAACAGGGAAUCCCCCUACAUCAGUAUGUGAUUCACCAAGUACAAGGUCAAACAGAUAACCACAACUGCUCUGUCAGUUCCCAAGACUGCACAGAACACAGAGCCCCAGCACCUUGCUUUGGUCCUCCCUGAGUUUCUACACACCUGGCUUCUCAACGAAAGAGGAUCCAUUUGCAUACGAAACAAACUCUGCAAUGUAGAAGAUGGCUGUUUGAUCUGAAGCAGAUUUUGUAAGCUUGUGCAAUGAAGCAAAGCACCCAGUCUUCCAGGGGCAGGAGUGAAGACUGCAUUCCACGAUCCCUCUGCUUCCCUGAGAGGAGCAGGGUCCUGUGCAGAUUCAUUCUUCUUUCUCCAGCCUCCUCAGCCCUAUGUCCUUCACACUUCAGCAGUGGUCUCUGGAGCCUGGGCAAAAUUAACCCUGUAUUGACCAGAACCCUCACCAAUGUUGCAACUCCUAGGUCUCCAUGGUGAAGAAAUUUGGGUUCAGCACACCUACAGCCUGCCUCGGUGGCCAGACAGCCCUAGUCUCCUUCUUGAAGGUUGAUUUUGCUAUUUGUGUAUCAGAAGUGGAUUUGUCAUGAAGAGUAAGAAGCUUAAGCUUCAAAGUCCCUCAUUUGUACACAUCUGGGGAUCCCUGAAAGUAGUUGGGAGUCAUAGAAUGUUCUAGGUGGAGAAAGAAAAGUAAGUUGCAGUCAGUCAGCAUUUCUAAGUAAGCACAUCUGGUAAGUUACAUAAAGAGAACUCAUAAGAAAGGGACCUGAAUUUCCAAGCUCCUAGUAUUUUGUACUUUCUUUUCUCAUUUUAAAUGAAUAUUCAUUUUCACAUCUAAUUUUGAAUUUAUUCAAAAGAUCCCUCAAAACUAACUAUGUAAAUCUUUAUUUUCUGAGAUACAUUUAAUCUACUAUUAUUUUUAUUUUUUGAGACAGGGUCUGACUCCGGUUGCCCAGGCUGGAGUGCAGUGGUAUGAUCUUGGCUCACUGUAGCCUCGACCUCCCAAGCGCAGGUGAUCCUCCCACCUCAGCCUCCCGAGUAGCUGGGAGUAGAGACGCACACCACCAUGCCUGGCUGGUUUAGUUUUUAGUAGAGAUGAGGUUUCACUAUGUUGCCCAGGCUGGUCUCAAACUCCUGGAAUCAAGUAAUCUGCCUCAGACUCCCAGAGUGUUGGGAUUAUAGGUAUGAGCCACUGCACCCAGCCCUACAUACAUUUUAGAAUAAGUUUAUUGAUUCUUCACAACACCGUAGUGGAAUUUGUAUUAGUAUUGCCUUGUAUCUAUUGACUAAUGAGAAGGUGAUUAACAUUUUUGUAACAGCAAGUGAUCACUCUGAGUAUGAACUGUCUCUCCAUUUGUUCAGAUCUUCUAUGUCUUUUAUUAUAGUUUUCUUCAUAGAGAGGGCUGUUGUGUCUUUUGAGUUAAUUUCUAAAUAUUUUAUGAUUUUUAUUAAUAUUAUGAAUUGUAGCUUUUUAAUAUUUUCUAGUUAAUUAUUACUCAAGUAAGGAGAUGCUAUUGAGCUUUCUAUGUUAACCUCACGUCUGGUAUCUUACCUAGGUUCUGUUAUUAGUCCUCAUAGUUUGAUUCUGUUAGUUUAUUCUAGAUGAAUGUUUAUGUAGUCUGCAAAUUAUGACAGGUUUUUUUUUUUUUUUUUGAGACAAAGUCUCACUCUGUUGCCUAGGCUGGAGUACAGUAGCAUGAUCUCGGCUCACUGCAACCUUCACCUCCCGGGUUCAAGCAAUUUUCCUGCCUCAACCUCCCGAGUAGCUGGGACUACAGGUGCACACUGCCACACCAGGCUAAUUUUUUGUAUUUUAGUAGAGAUGAGGUUUCACUGUGUUGCUCAGGCCGGUCUCAAACUCCUGAGCUCAGGCAAUCUGCCUGCCUCAGCCUCCGAAAGUGCUGGGAUUACAGGCAUGAGCCACUGUGCCUGGCCAGGUUUUAUUAUUUUAUUUUAUUUUAUUUUAUUUUUGAGACAGGGUCUUGCCCUGUUGCCCAGGCUGGAGUGCAGUAGCUCAAUCAUGGCUCACUACAGCCUCAACGUCCCAGGCUCAAGCGAUCCUCCCACUUCAGCCUCCUGGGUAGCUGGGGACUAUGGUGCAUGCCACUAUACCUGCUAGUUUUUUUUUUUUUUUUGAGAUGGGAUCUCUCUGUGUUGCCCAGGCUAGUCUCGAAUUCCUGAGCUCAAUCAAUCUACCUGCCUUAGCCUCCCAAAGUGCUAGGAUUACAGGCCUGGCCAAUUAUGGCAGUUUUGACUCUUUUCUACCAAGCUUAAAGCUUCUUAUUUCCUUUUCUUGCCUUAUAGCAUUCUUCAGCUCUCCAGUUCAAGGCUACAUAUCUACAGUAAUACCUUGUUACUAGUCUUAAUAUUAAUAAAAUGCAUCUACAAUUUCUCUGUGAAGUAUAAUAUUUGCUCUGGGGUUUGGCAGUGGGCCUUUACCAAGUUAUGAAGGUGCUCUUCUAUUUUUAGUUUGCUCUGAGUUUCUUUUUUUUUCCCCUUAAUCAUAAAUAGAUAAUGCCCUUUAUCAAUUGCUUUUCCUGGAAAAAUUGAGUUAAUCAUAUGAUUUUUCCCUUUCAGUCCAUCGAAGUGAUGGACGAUAUUGACAGAUUUUCUAAUGGCCAAGGCUUCUUGCUUUUCUAGGUUGAGCCCCACUUGAUCAUAAUGUAUUAUUUUAAUAUGCUGUUGGGUGCAAUUUUCUAAAAUUUUAUUUAAUGUUUGUACAUCCUAAUAUAAAGAUGAGAUGGACCUGUAAUUUUCUUUUCCUGAAUGUCCCUUUUGUGAUUUGGAAUCAAGAUUACAUGGGCUUCAGAAAUUAAGCUAGAAAGCUCUUACUCUUUACAUAAAUUUGGGGGCUGGCCGUGGUAGCUUACAUCUAUAAUCC
This 38670-nucleotide long non-coding RNA is filed under the name Homo sapiens (human). RNAcentral describes it as "non-protein coding CLDN10-AS1:4". Lineage: Eukaryota; Metazoa; Chordata; Mammalia; Primates; Hominidae. The record is from RNAcentral.